This is a long non-coding RNA of Acanthopagrus latus (yellowfin seabream), 346 nucleotides long. RefSeq lists it as uncharacterized. The record is from RefSeq and is a predicted model, not a curated record. Lineage: Eukaryota; Metazoa; Chordata; Actinopteri; Spariformes; Sparidae. The transcript is spliced from 3 exons.
GAUGAAGGUGUCAGGGAUCCAGAGCAGUGACACGAGGCGCCCGUCCACGCUGACACUCUCAUUUCCCGGGAACACCAGCCUGGAGUCACGCCACCGCUGACGGAGGAAGAUUGUUGCGGUGUAGUCCUGUAAAGGUGCCAGUUAAUCGAGAAACUGAGAAAUGAUACGAAUUGUCGUACACGACUUGCAACCUGUAAUACAUCAGUGCGACAAUUGAGCCUCCCACCCUGAAUGCGAUGGCGUCGGAAACGUGAAGCUCAGGCAGAGGAUCAGCAGCGCGUGCAGCCGGACGGACAUCUUGGACGUCAGCAGCUGCAAACCAUAACACGAACACACAAACCACAAA